AUUGAACGCUGGCGGCAGGCCUAACACAUGCGAGUCGAGCGGAUGAAGGGAGCUUGCUCCUGGAUUCAGCGGCGGACGGGUGAGUAAUGCCUAGGAAUCUGCCUGGUAGUGGGGGAUAACGUCCGGAAACGGGCGCUAAUACCGCAUACGUCCUGAGGGAGAAAGUGGGGGAUCUUCGGACCUCACGCUAUCAGAUGAGCCUAGGUCGGAUUAGCUAGUUGGUGGGGUAAAGGCCUACCAAGGCGACGAUCCGUAACUGGUCUGAGAGGAUGAUCAGUCACACUGGAACUGAGACACGGUCCAGACUCCUACGGGAGGCAGCAGUGGGGAAUAUUGGACAAUGGGCGAAAGCCUGAUCCAGCCAUGCCGCGUGUGUGAAGAAGGUCUUCGGAUUGUAAAGCACUUUAAGUUGGGAGGAAGGGCAGUAAGUUAAUACCUUGCUGUUUUGACGUUACCAACAGAAUAAGCACCGGCUAACUUCGU
RNAcentral lists this ribosomal RNA (483 nucleotides) under uncultured bacterium. RNAcentral describes it as "partial 16S ribosomal RNA". It matches the Rfam family "Bacterial small subunit ribosomal RNA", at positions 30 to 506 of the family's 1533-position model. The record is from RNAcentral.